CCAUACCCCUUUUUUUUGGUGAAAAAAUACUACCGUAUUAUAAAAAAUACUACGUCUGGCAACCCUGAGUUACUACGAAUUUCUUGCUUUUCAGUGUUGCCAACAAAUAUCGAAAGAAGAAGAAGAAUUUAAUUUUUAUUUCAAAGUUUAUGAAAAAAAAUAUUGAUAAAAGGUGGACUUAUUCACAAUGGCUUCUGAAAUUAUUAUACAAUAUAUUCAGAAGCUA
Parasteatoda tepidariorum (common house spider) is the source of this 226-nucleotide non-coding RNA. The record is from RefSeq and is a predicted model, not a curated record. Lineage: Eukaryota; Metazoa; Arthropoda; Arachnida; Araneae; Theridiidae.